CUUUGCUCGUCCGCCUCUACAGGAAACCGGGAAUACAAGCCACCGCGAUGCCUCAGUGAUGUAAAGAUCUGCAUCGAAGUGAUACCGCCUCUACAAGACGAAAUCAAACCGCAGAGCGAGGAUACACGUUAGCAGAGCACAGUGUGCUGGGAUCCACCAUAUGGCGUGGAGCAGAUCCUGGAACAUUCUGGGAUAAUAAGAGGACUUUAAAGCUUUCUGCAGUUUUGGAAGAAGCUGUCGAGUAAGAACCAUCACAGGAGCCAUUUUUCGACAGCGAAAGCUUCCUGGGAAGUAUAAUCAUUUUGUCAGCAAACUACCUCUUGGUCGUUCUGCGUCCAAGUCAUGUAACUUAACCUCGUCCCUUCAUGUUGAAUGAUUUUGUACAAAAUAAGGUAGGCCUGCACACCAACCGGGAGAGGAUCUGACCUCUUUGGAUACGUGUGGGAAUAUUGGCAUUCUUUUAUUUUUUUAUUUUUUAGUCAAACUUGACAUCCUGAUACAUUUUGUAGUUUCAUGACAACGGCCUCCAAUCUGCAAUAGUAAAGUGAUAUUUAUAAAGUCUGGGUAACACUAAAGGUUUAAGGUGUGUACCUAUUUCCAACAGUAGAGUGAAUAGAGAUGGUCGACACACUCACGCACACGUGCAUGCAAACACACGCAUACACACACUCAGACAAGCGGGUUGUGUCUCUCCGUGUUCACAGCGGACCUUGAUUUAAUGUCUUACAAUUAAGGCACGCGGUGAAUGCCAAGAGAUGAUCCUCCCUACCUCGGAAUCUGUCACAUCUCUACUGUUUCUAUUUGUUGAAAAAGCAGCAUAUUUGUGUCUUUCACACACUGCAGGUAUUUCUGUCGUUUCGAAAUGUACCGCAUGAUUUAUGUACUGCACAUUCUCCCCUCUCCUUCAACAAUAAAGUAAAUACACACAACCAUUUUA
Labrus bergylta (ballan wrasse) is the source of this 937-nucleotide non-coding RNA. The record is from RefSeq and is a predicted model, not a curated record. NCBI's taxonomy places the organism in Eukaryota, Metazoa, Chordata, Actinopteri, Labriformes, Labridae.